AACGCACAUUGCGCCCCUUGGUAUUCCGAGGGGCAUGCCUGUUCGAGCGUCAUUACAAAACCUCUCAAGUUCUUUUGCUUGGUGUGUUGGGUAUUCGUCCUGCUCCUUUCCCGCUGCUCAAAAGUGGGGCAGAGGAACCUGGACGUACCUGAAAAUCAGUGGCGGUGCCAUGAUGGCCUCAAGCGUAGCAGGCUCCCUCUCGCUUUGGAUGGCCUUGUCGUGCAGCUUGCCGGCCUUUGCGUGUUUGUUUUUAUCAAGGUGUUUGACCUCGGAUCAGGUAGGGAUACCCGCUGAACUUAA
Molecule: unclassified non-coding RNA, 300 nt
Filed under: uncultured Geoglossales
Lineage: Eukaryota; Fungi; Ascomycota; Geoglossomycetes
Description: sequence contains 5.8S rRNA gene, ITS2, 28S rRNA gene
Rfam family: 5.8S ribosomal RNA (bases 1-52)
Source: RNAcentral